Molecule: ribosomal RNA, 2711 nt
Filed under: Escherichia coli
Lineage: Bacteria; Pseudomonadati; Pseudomonadota; Gammaproteobacteria; Enterobacterales; Enterobacteriaceae
Description: partial 23S ribosomal RNA
Rfam family: Bacterial large subunit ribosomal RNA
Source: RNAcentral
CAUAGGUUAAUGAGGCGAACCGGGGGAACUGAAACAUCUAAGUACCCCGAGGAAAAGAAAUCAACCGAGAUUCCCCCAGUAGCGGCGAGCGAACGGGGAGCAGCCCAGAGCCUGAAUCAGUGUGUGUGUUAGUGGAAGCGUCUGGAAAGGCGCGCGAUACAGGGUGACAGCCCCGUACACAAAAAUGCACAUGCUGUGAGCUCGAUGAGUAGGGCGGGACACGUGGUAUCCUGUCUGAAUAUGGGGGGACCAUCCUCCAAGGCUAAAUACUCCUGACUGACCGAUAGUGAACCAGUACCGUGAGGGAAAGGCGAAAAGAACCCCGGCGAGGGGAGUGAAAAAGAACCUGAAACCGUGUACGUACAAGCAGUGGGAGCACGCUUAGGCGUGUGACUGCGUACCUUUUGUAUAAUGGGUCAGCGACUUAUAUUCUGUAGCAAGGUUAACCGAAUAGGGGAGCCGAAGGGAAACCGAGUCUUAACUGGGCGUUAAGUUGCAGGGUAUAGACCCGAAACCCGGUGAUCUAGCCAUGGGCAGGUUGAAGGUUGGGUAACACUAACUGGAGGACCGAACCGACUAAUGUUGAAAAAUUAGCGGAUGACUUGUGGCUGGGGGUGAAAGGCCAAUCAAACCGGGAGAUAGCUGGUUCUCCCCGAAAGCUAUUUAGGUAGCGCCUCGUGAAUUCAUCUCCGGGGGUAGAGCACUGUUUCGGCAAGGGGGUCAUCCCGACUUACCAACCCGAUGCAAACUGCGAAUACCGGAGAAUGUUAUCACGGGAGACACACGGCGGGUGCUAACGUCCGUCGUGAAGAGGGAAACAACCCAGACCGCCAGCUAAGGUCCCAAAGUCAUGGUUAAGUGGGAAACGAUGUGGGAAGGCCCAGACAGCCAGGAUGUUGGCUUAGAAGCAGCCAUCAUUUAAAGAAAGCGUAAUAGCUCACUGGUCGAGUCGGCCUGCGCGGAAGAUGUAACGGGGCUAAACCAUGCACCGAAGCUGCGGCAGCGACGCUUAUGCGUUGUUGGGUAGGGGAGCGUUCUGUAAGCCUGUGAAGGUGUGCUGUGAGGCAUGCUGGAGGUAUCAGAAGUGCGAAUGCUGACAUAAGUAACGAUAAAGCGGGUGAAAAGCCCGCUCGCCGGAAGACCAAGGGUUCCUGUCCAACGUUAAUCGGGGCAGGGUGAGUCGACCCCUAAGGCGAGGCCGAAAGGCGUAGUCGAUGGGAAACAGGUUAAUAUUCCUGUACUUGGUGUUACUGCGAAGGGGGGACGGAGAAGGCUAUGUUGGCCGGGCGACGGUUGUCCCGGUUUAAGCGUGUAGGCUGGUUUUCCAGGUAAAUCCGGAAAAUCAAGGCUGAGGCGUGAUGACGAGGCACUACGGUGCUGAAGCAACAAAUGCCCUGCUUCCAGGAAAAGCCUCUAAGCAUCAGGUAACAUCAAAUCGUACCCCAAACCGACACAGGUGGUCAGGUAGAGAAUACCAAGGCGCUUGAGAGAACUCGGGUGAAGGAACUAGGCAAAAUGGUGCCGUAACUUCGGGAGAAGGCACGCUGAUAUGUAGGUGAAGUCCCUCGCGGAUGGAGCUGAAAUCAGUCGAAGAUACCAGCUGGCUGCAACUGUUUAUUAAAAACACAGCACUGUGCAAACACGAAAGUGGACGUAUACGGUGUGACGCCUGCCCGGUGCCGGAAGGUUAAUUGAUGGGGUUAGCCGCAAGGCGAAGCUCUUGAUCGAAGCCCCGGUAAACGGCGGCCGUAACUAUAACGGUCCUAAGGUAGCGAAAUUCCUUGUCGGGUAAGUUCCGACCUGCACGAAUGGCGUAAUGAUGGCCAGGCUGUCUCCACCCGAGACUCAGUGAAAUUGAACUCGCUGUGAAGAUGCAGUGUACCCGCGGCAAGACGGAAAGACCCCGUGAACCUUUACUAUAGCUUGACACUGAACAUUGAGCCUUGAUGUGUAGGAUAGGUGGGAGGCUUUGAAGUGUGGACGCCAGUCUGCAUGGAGCCGACCUUGAAAUACCACCCUUUAAUGUUUGAUGUUCUAACGUUGACCCGUGAUCCGGGUUGCGGACAGUGUCUGGUGGGUAGUUUGACUGGGGCGGUCUCCUCCUAAAGAGUAACGGAGGAGCACGAAGGUUGGCUAAUCCUGGUCGGACAUCAGGAGGUUAGUGCAAUGGCAUAAGCCAGCUUGACUGCGAGCGUGACGGCGCGAGCAGGUGCGAAAGCAGGUCAUAGUGAUCCGGUGGUUCUGAAUGGAAGGGCCAUCGCUCAACGGAUAAAAGGUACUCCGGGGAUAACAGGCUGAUACCGCCCAAGAGUUCAUAUCGACGGCGGUGUUUGGCACCUCGAUGUCGGCUCAUCACAUCCUGGGGCUGAAGUAGGUCCCAAGGGUAUGGCUGUUCGCCAUUUAAAGUGGUACGCGAGCUGGGUUUAGAACGUCGUGAGACAGUUCGGUCCCUAUCUGCCGUGGGCGCUGGAGAACUGAGGGGGGCUGCUCCUAGUACGAGAGGACCGGAGUGGACGCAUCACUGGUGUUCGGGUUGUCAUGCCAAUGGCACUGCCCGGUAGCUAAAUGCGGAAGAGAUAAGUGCUGAAAGCAUCUAAGCACGAAACUUGCCCCGAGAUGAGUUCUCCCUGACCCUUUAAGGGUCCUGAAGGAACGUUGAAGACGACGACGUUGAUAGGCCGGGUGUGUAAGCGCAGCGAUGCGUUGAGCUA